Molecule: long non-coding RNA, 931 nt
Filed under: Nicotiana benthamiana
Lineage: Eukaryota; Viridiplantae; Streptophyta; Magnoliopsida; Solanales; Solanaceae
Description: long non-coding RNA (NBEN_LNC011396)
Source: RNAcentral
AACAAACUCCAAAUUAAAUAACCAAUUCAAUUAAAUUAUGGACAAAAGAAACUAAAAACCUCAACAUUACAUCAUAUCGGAGCAAGCUUUGAAUAUGAAACAAUAUUGUCCGAAUUUCAUGACAAUCAGAAGAAGAAAUUGUUCUGCCCCAAAUAAUGGUGAAAAAGCAACAGAUUUCGAUCCAUUUUAUCCUCCAAUCCAUUUUACUGAACAAAAGAAGAAGUGCAGACUUCGAUCUACUAGACUCAAACUUUAAAUUCAUCUCCACAUUUCACACAAAUUACAACAAUUUAACAAACUCGCAAUAGAACGCAAAAAUAGCUUCCAAUCAAUCGUGGAAAUGAAAGGGAUGAACUAGAACAAUUCGAUACAAAUCUUAUCCAAACAACUAUGAGCUUUAUAUUAUUCCACCAAAUUGCAAUACCUGAUUACAACAGCACAAAGACAAACAGAGAAUAAGCCUCUCUAAAAUGAAUCAGAAUUCAACUGAUUUGCUGCUCCGGAAUCGGAUCGGGAUAUGACAAAGACAAACGGAACUUCAACAUGGGGGCUUGCUGGAAGUUCUUCAACCUCGAAGCUGGCCGGAAAGUAAAUAAUGAGAGGUGUGACCUUGUAUGUGCAUGUAUGGUUGCUUAGGGUGGGCUACUGUUGUGGGUCGUUUGGUUCUGUUUGUGUUUUGAACGUGAGUGUGUGUGUUUUGUGAAGGAGAUGACACGCAGUGAGGGGUCGUUCGUUUCUGCUCAAUUGCGGUUGUCUCUCUUGUGUAUUUUCAGCUGGUUCAAUGUUGAGAUCUCAAAGAAAACAUGAUGGGGUGUGUGGAAGACGAAAAAACAGGGGGUGGGGUUGUUGGUGCUGAGAAUUGCGGUUGAUCUCAGUCGUCUCUUAUUCAGACCCCCAUUUUUUGAUUUUUUAGGCGUAGGUUUAUGAAGGC